This 468-nucleotide ribosomal RNA is filed under the name uncultured bacterium. RNAcentral describes it as "partial 16S ribosomal RNA". It matches the Rfam family "Bacterial small subunit ribosomal RNA", at positions 28 to 507 of the family's 1533-position model. The record is from RNAcentral.
GACGAACGCUGGCGGCGUGCUUAACACAUGCAAGUCGAACGGAAAGGCCCUGCUUUUGUGGGGUGCUCGAGUGGCGAACGGGUGAGUAACACGUGAGUAACCUGCCCUUGACUUUGGGAUAACUUCAGGAAACUGGGGCUCAUACCGGAUAGGAGCUCCUGCUGCAUGGUGGGGGUUGGAAAGUUUCGGCGGUUGGGGAUGGACUCGCGGCUUAUCAGCUUGUUGGUGGGGUAGUGGCUUACCAAGGCUUUGACGGGUAGCCGGCCUGAGAGGGUGACCGGCCACAAUGGGACUGAGAUACGGCCCAGACGCCCACGGGAGGCAGCAGUGGGGAAUAUUGCACAAUGGGCGGAAGCCUGAUGCAGCAACGCCGCGUGCGGGAUGACGGCCUUCGGGUUGUAAACCGCUUUCGCCUGUGACGAAGCGUGAGUGACGGUAAUGGGUAAAGAAGCACCGGCUAACUACGUG